UCAAAUAUUGAGUUUCAUUGCUCAAUAUGACUAUAUCAAAAGUUUGUUAGAAAGGAAAGAAUCCGUUAGAGUAUUUUAGGGGUUAAAUCCUCUAUCAAGGAUCCCUAAUUUAUUUGUUUCCUUUUUGAUAUUACUUUCCUUGUACAUUCCCUUUCCAUCCCUAUAAAAGGGAGUGAUGUAAUGCUCAAAAAAAUACACAGAAAUACAAUACAAAAACAAUUCUUUAGAGCUCCACCAAUAUGUCUCUAAACUAUUAUGCCAACCUUGUUCCAACCUUUUUUUUAUGCCAAAACAGUAGCCGUAUCCUAGUCCUUUUUCCCUGAAACAAAAAUCAAACAAAAUGUCAGGGGAAAUCCAGAUUACAGAAACCAAAAAUUCUUCAGAAGAGUUAACUCUUCAAAUUGCAAAUCUAGUUCGGAA
RNAcentral lists this long non-coding RNA (420 nucleotides) under Salvia miltiorrhiza (redroot sage). RNAcentral describes it as "long non-coding RNA (SMIL_LNC004425)". Lineage: Eukaryota; Viridiplantae; Streptophyta; Magnoliopsida; Lamiales; Lamiaceae. The record is from RNAcentral.